GUGUCUGUAGCCUAGUUGGUAAAGGCAGCAGUCUAGUAAGCUGAGGUUGUGAGUUUGACUCUCACCAGACACA
Molecule: transfer RNA, 73 nt
Filed under: Puccinia triticina 1-1 BBBD Race 1
Lineage: Eukaryota; Fungi; Basidiomycota; Pucciniomycetes; Pucciniales; Pucciniaceae
Description: tRNA-Thr (AGT) (tRNA-Thr-AGT-5-1)
Rfam family: tRNA
About the family: Transfer RNA (tRNA) molecules are approximately 80 nucleotides in length. Their secondary structure includes four short double-helical elements and three loops (D, anti-codon, and T loops).
Source: RNAcentral